GAUGAAGAACGCAGCGAAAUGCGAUAAGUAAUGUGAAUUGCAGAAUUCAGUGAAUCAUCGAAUUUUUGAACGCACAUUGCGCCCCCUGGUAUUCCGGGGGGCAUGCCUGUUCGAGCGUCAUUUCACCACUCAAGCCUCGCUUGGUAUUGGGCAACGCGGUCCGCCGCGUGCCUCAAAUCGACCGGCUGGGUCUUCUGUCCCCUAAGCGUUGUGGAAACUAUUCGCUAAAGGGUGUUCGGGAGGCUACGCCGUAAAACAACCCCAUUUCUAAGGUUGACCUCGGAUCAGGUAGGGAUACCCGCUGAACUUAAGCAUAUCAAUAAGCGGAGGA
RNAcentral lists this unclassified non-coding RNA (331 nucleotides) under soil metagenome. RNAcentral's name for it is "partial contains 5.8S ribosomal RNA, internal transcribed spacer 2, and large subunit ribosomal RNA". The stretch from base 1 to 120 matches the Rfam family "5.8S ribosomal RNA", at positions 35 to 154 of the family's 154-position model. The record is from RNAcentral.